UCAGACCAAGCCUCACAAAAGUUCUCCAACAGAAUUUUGAUCCUCACAACCGUUUGUCCGGUACAGCCACUGAAAUUCAGCAGAAAAGAUGCCAAACAGGAAGUAAAGUCAUACCUCAGCAAAUCUUUCAGAUAUCAACACCAAACUUGGUAUGCACGUGGAAGACACUACAACAUGUCCCCAUGUGCAAAGGCAACUUCAUAUCUUCAAAAAUGAUUGAUAUAAAGCAAAUUGCAUUAAUCGCUAACGCGAAUGGUGAAUAUGUAGCCGGGUAGCUUUAGGACCCAGGAGUUUAUAGGCAGCCAAUGGUUGACGUGCUGUUCUGAAUGCUGCCUGACACGCGCGCGACAUGCACGAGACGGACAGACACAAUUUUAUUGAGACUAUUUUGUGGAUACGAGAGAAGAGGACGAUUUCUGGUGUGGAGAAGGUUUUCGUCUACAUUUGACCGUUUCCCCAUCUCCUCCCAUACCAUGGGCCAGAGGAGCAUGACCACCUGGGUGAGGAGUUUCUGAAUUAUCAGACCAUGCCAACCACCUCCCUUCAGGACGAAACUGAGAUGGAAAGCUUCUGGGCUGGAAUGGCAACACGGAAACAUAAGGUGGCAGGAACUAAAGAAUUUGAGAGGCUUGUUGCCGUCGCCAAGCUGGUCCUGGUGUUGCCCCAUUCGAAUGCAGAUGCUGAGAGGGUGUUUUCAGUGUUCAGUGGGACUGAACAAAACUAAGACCAGAAAUAGCCUGGCAUUGGAUGGCACCCUGUCUUCAAUAAUGGCCAUAAAGAUGGCCGACCUGGAGCCCUGUUUCAGAUGGGAGCCCCCCUCAGAGGUCAUCAAGGCCUCCAAGAAGGCCACAGUAGGCCCCACAGUAGGCAGACUUUGGGCCCCAAAAACCAACAGAAUGCAGAGCAC
Clupea harengus (Atlantic herring) is the source of this 907-nucleotide long non-coding RNA. The record is from Ensembl. NCBI's taxonomy places the organism in Eukaryota, Metazoa, Chordata, Actinopteri, Clupeiformes, Clupeidae.